AUGCUCACAACAGCAACACAUAGAAGAAAAUUGGAAUGAUGCAGAGAAGAUUAGCAUGGCCCCUUUGCAAGGGUGACAUCCAAAAUCAUGAAGUAUUCCAUGUUUUU
This is a small nuclear RNA of Erinaceus europaeus (western European hedgehog), 107 nucleotides long. The record is from Ensembl. Lineage: Eukaryota; Metazoa; Chordata; Mammalia; Eulipotyphla; Erinaceidae.